RNAcentral lists this ribosomal RNA (222 nucleotides) under uncultured bacterium. RNAcentral's name for it is "partial 16S ribosomal RNA". It matches the Rfam family "Bacterial small subunit ribosomal RNA", at positions 109 to 334 of the family's 1533-position model. The record is from RNAcentral.
AGUAAUGUAUGGGGAUCUGCCCGAUAGAGGGGGAUAACUACUGGAAACGGUGGCUAAUACCGCAUAAUGUCUACGGACCAAAGCAGGGGCUCUUCGGACCUUGCACUAUCGGAUGAACCCAUAUGGGAUUAGCUAGUAGGUGGGGUAAGGGCUCACCUAGGCGACGAUCUCUAGCUGGUCUGAGAGGAUGAUCAGCCACACUGGGACUGAGACACGGCCCAA